This 492-nucleotide ribosomal RNA is filed under the name uncultured bacterium. RNAcentral's name for it is "partial 16S ribosomal RNA". It matches the Rfam family "Bacterial small subunit ribosomal RNA", at positions 29 to 507 of the family's 1533-position model. The record is from RNAcentral.
AGUGAACGCUGGCGGUAGGCCUAACACAUGCAAGUCGAACGGCAGCACAGUAAGAGCUUGCUCUUACGGGUGGCGAGUGGCGGACGGGUGAGGAAUACAUCGGAAUCUACUUUUUCGUGGGGGAUAACGUAGGGAAACUUACGCUAAUACCGCAUAUGACCUACGGGUGAAAGCAGGGGAUCUUCGGACCUUGCGCGAUUGAAUGAGCCGAUGUCGGAUUAGCUAGUUGGCGGGGUAAAGGCCCACCAAGGCGACGAUCCGUAGCUGGACUGAGAGGAUGAUCAGCCACACUGGAACUGAGACACGGUCCAGACUCCUACGGGAGGCAGCAGUGGGGAAUAUUGGACAAUGGGCGAAAGCCUGACCCAGCCAUACCGCGUGAGUGAAGAAGGCCUUCGGAUCGUAAAGCCCUUUUAUUAGGAAAGAAAAACAGCAGAUUAAUCCCCCGCUGUUCUGACGGUACCCAAAGAAUAAGCACCGGCUAACUUCGUG